GCCAGGUGUGGUGGUGCACACCUGUAGUCCCAGCUACUCGGGAGGCUGAGGCAGGAGAAUUGCUUGAACCAGGGAGGCGGAGGUUGCAGUGAGCCGAGAUCGUGCCACUGCAUUCCAGCCUGGGUGACAGAGUGAUACCCUGUCUCAA
This 148-nucleotide non-coding RNA is filed under the name Nomascus leucogenys (northern white-cheeked gibbon). Lineage: Eukaryota; Metazoa; Chordata; Mammalia; Primates; Hylobatidae. The record is from Rfam by way of RNAcentral.